GAUGUGCUGGUCAGGUCCAUACAUUCCCUCUCACCAUUAAGGAGAAGCUGGCAGCUCUGAGUGGAGCAGGGUGAAGACAGGUACUGAACUGUGUGCUGGAGGCUGCUGUUGGCUACAGAAGGAGUUUAAGUGACCAGCUGAGGUCAACUUCUAGGUGGGUAAAGCCAGGUGAGAUGCAUACUACCUCUAGCAAAUGAGGAAUGUUGUUGGAAGCCUUUCUCUCUGACCUUCAGGAAAAUACAUGCUAAGAUGCUGCAGUCCAGCUGUCAGCCAGAAGGUUGCAUUCUCACUGAAAGUGGGUUUGAUACUUAAAGGAGAGAUGGAUAAUUAAGACUUCAUCCUCCAAAAUAUUAAAUAUUGAUUUGUAGACAUUUAGAAGCAGGCAUAAAGCUCUCCUGAGAACUGGCAGCAACUGUAAAAGAUUAUAAAAGAUUUUAGUUCUCCGUGUAGAAUUUAGUAUUUAUUUUUUGUUUAAAAUUUAUGAAAUGGGGGUAAAAUAAAUCAGGAGGUAACAUCUGGCCCUCUGAGCACCUCCAAGUCCUGCUCCAUGUGACCAUUCAGAGGCAAAAUGGAUGUAUGUUUUUUUUCAGGUUUGUAUUGGCUUUUGGUUUAUUGAAGUGUCAGGGGGUUUAUAAGCUCUUCAACUCCAAUUUUUAUUGUUUUAUCCAACUACUGUCACUUCUUAUCAGUAUUAAAGGCAGAAAUCAAAGCACAGGACCCAUGGGAAGCGGCGUUUCAAAUGUACUCCAUCGCUUUUCUUUGUCAUUGUUCUGAACUAUGCACCCUCUGCUCCUGACAGCACACCCACAACGAGAUAAGGAGUUUGUAUGAGUAUGCAUAUGUGUCUUCUGUGGGAAAAGGAGCAAUGGCUUGCCCCGCACACUGCCCACCAGAUUGGAAGAAGAUAUAAUGAAUGCAUCUUCUCUGCAUCACAAGAAAAAGGCUAUUUCAACUUAACAGAACAUUUCAAUCUCAGUCAAAAUGGGGCAUCUUCAACAUAAGGUUGUCUGCAGUCAUGCCACCUCAUGGUGUCAGGAAGAUGCCACACUCUGGUUGCACCACAUCCUACUGCCACGCGCUGCGUGCACACAGCAGUGUCAGCAGAAGAGAUGAUCUCUGCAUCAAACCCCUGAGCAUGGCCCCUCCAUCUGCAGCAUCGCGCCCUGCGCUCUGGCUCCCGCUUUGGGAUUUGCUCCCAGAAGUUGCGUCACAGAAGUCAUUGGGAAGUAAAAGGCACAUAGCCUGCAUUUCAUUUCUUUUAAAGUGUGACUGUAAAAGAUGGCAGCUUUUUUCUGGUUUCCCUCAAAAGAUCCACUCUGUUACUCAGGGCACGCAGCCUGAAAAGCGAGGGCUGGUGCUGUUCCUGCAUUACUGUGGUGUUACUUUUUGGCUUCCAUUUUCUGAAGGAAGCCAGCAAUGA
This 1420-nucleotide long non-coding RNA is filed under the name Numida meleagris (helmeted guineafowl). Its description in RNAcentral is "lncRNA (ENSNMEG00000018143.1)". Lineage: Eukaryota; Metazoa; Chordata; Aves; Galliformes; Numididae. The record is from RNAcentral.